This 592-nucleotide ribosomal RNA is filed under the name uncultured bacterium. RNAcentral describes it as "bacterial SSU rRNA". It matches the Rfam family "Bacterial small subunit ribosomal RNA", at positions 567 to 1158 of the family's 1533-position model. The record is from RNAcentral.
GCAUGCGGGUGGUUCAUUAAGUCAGAUGUGAAAGCCCGGGGCUCAACCUCGGAACUGCAUUUGAAACUGGUGAACUAGAGUACUGUAGAGGGGGGUAGAAUUUCAGGUGUAGCGGUGAAAUGCGUAGAGAUCUGAAGGAAUACCAGUGGCGAAGGCGGCCCCCUGGACAGAUACUGACACUCAGAUGCGAAAGCGUGGGGAGCAAACAGGAUUAGAUACCCUGGUAGUCCACGCCGUAAACGAUGUCUACUUGGAGGUUGUGGCCUUGAGCCGUGGCUUUCGGAGCUAACGCGUUAAGUAGACCGCCUGGGGAGUACGGUCGCAAGAUUAAAACUCAAAUGAAUUGACGGGGGCCCGCACAAGCGGUGGAGCAUGUGGUUUAAUUCGAUGCAACGCGAAGAACCUUACCUACUCUUGACAUCCAGAGAAGCCAGCGGAGACCCAGGUGUGCCUUCGGGAACUCUGAAACAGGUGCUGCAUGGCUGUCGUCAGCUCGUGUUGUGAAAUGUUGGGUUAAGUCCCGCAACGAGCGCAACCCUUAUCCUUGUUUGCCAACGAGUAAUGUCCGGAACUCCAGGGAGACUGCCGGUGA